RNAcentral lists this transfer RNA (73 nucleotides) under Rhipicephalus sanguineus (brown dog tick). RNAcentral describes it as "transfer RNA tyrosine (anticodon GUA)". It matches the Rfam family "tRNA". From Rfam's summary of the family: Transfer RNA (tRNA) molecules are approximately 80 nucleotides in length. Lineage: Eukaryota; Metazoa; Arthropoda; Arachnida; Ixodida; Ixodidae. The record is from RNAcentral.
CCGUCGAUAGCUCAGUUGGUAGAGCGGUGGACUGUAGAUCCAUAGGUCGCUGGUUCGAAUCCGGCUCGGCGGA